UACGAAGGGGGCUAGCGUUGUUCGGAAUCACUGGGCGUAAAGGGCGCGUAGGCGGCUUUAUAAGUCGGGGGUGAAAGCCUGUGGCUCAACCACAGAAUUGCCUUCGAUACUGUAGAGCUUGAGACCGGAAGAGGUAAGUGGAACUGCGAGUGUAGAGGUAAAAUUCGUAGAUAUUCGCAAGAACACCGGUGGCGAAGGCGGCGUUCUGGACUGUUACUGACACUGAGGAACGAAAGCCAGGGGAGCAAACGGG
This 253-nucleotide ribosomal RNA is filed under the name uncultured bacterium. RNAcentral's name for it is "partial 16S ribosomal RNA". It matches the Rfam family "Bacterial small subunit ribosomal RNA", at positions 524 to 776 of the family's 1533-position model. The record is from RNAcentral.